RNAcentral lists this ribosomal RNA (559 nucleotides) under uncultured bacterium. RNAcentral's name for it is "bacterial SSU rRNA". It matches the Rfam family "Bacterial small subunit ribosomal RNA", at positions 119 to 674 of the family's 1533-position model. The record is from RNAcentral.
CGGAACGUGCCCAGUAGCGGGGGAUAACUACGCGAAAGCGUAGCUAAUACCGCAUACGCCCUUAGGGGGAAAGCAGGGGAUCGCAAGACCUUGCACUAUUGGAGCGGCCGAUAUCGGAUUAGCUGGUUGGUGAGGUAAUGGCUCACCAAGGCCGCGAUCCGUAGCUGGUUUGAGAGGACGACCAGCCACACUGGGACUGAGACGCGGCCCAGACUCCUACGGGAGGCAGCAGUGGGGAAUUUUGGACAAUGGGGGAAACCCUGAUCCAGCCAUCCCGCGUGUGCGAUGAAGGCCUUCGGGUUGUAAAGCACUUUUGGCAGGAAAGAAACGGCGCGUGCUAAUACCAUGCGCAACUGACGGUACCUGCAGAAUAAGCACCGGCUAACUACGUGCCAGCAGCCGCGGUAAUACGUAGGGUGCAAGCGUUAAUCGGAAUUACUGGGCGUAAAGCGUGCGCAGGCGGUUCGGAAAGAAAGAUGUGAAAUCCCAGGGCUCAACCUUGGAACUGCAUUUUUAACUACCGGACUAGAGUAUGUCAGAGGGAGGUGGAAUUCCACGU